UCCGGUGGUUUGAGCGCAAGCGUACUACCUCUUCCCAUCCCGAACAGAGUCGUAAAAGCUUGUAGCGGGGACGAUAAUGAAGCCGAAAGGCUUUGUGAAAAUACCUCACUGCCGGAU
Molecule: ribosomal RNA, 117 nt
Filed under: Candidatus Daviesbacteria bacterium GW2011_GWB1_41_5
Lineage: Bacteria; Candidatus Daviesiibacteriota
Also listed under: 1 other name
Source: RNAcentral